GACGAACGCUGGCGGCGUGCUUAACACAUGCAAGUCGAACGGAAAGGCCCUUCGGGGUAGCCGAGUGGCGAACGGGGGGGUAACACGUGGGGGAACAGACCUGCACUUUGGGUUAAGCCUGGGAAAAUGGGGCUAAACCCGAAUAAGAACGCGCGCCUCCCGGCGGGUGGAGGCAAGGUGUUUCGGGGUGGGAUGGGCCCGGGGCCGACCAGCUUGUUGGUGGGGUAUGGGCCUACCAAGGCGACGCAGGGUAGCCGUCCUGGGAGGGUGACCGGCCACACUGGGACUAAGGUACGGCGCAGUCGCCUACGGGGGGCAGCAGUGGGAAAUAUUGCACAAUGGGCGCAAGCCUGAUGCAGCGACGCCGCGUUUGGAAUGACGGCCUUCGGGUUGUAAACCUCUUUCGCCUAGGACGAAGCGCAAGUGACGGUACCUAGAGAAGAAGCACCGGCCAACUACGUG
Molecule: ribosomal RNA, 462 nt
Filed under: uncultured bacterium
Lineage: Bacteria
Description: partial 16S ribosomal RNA
Rfam family: Bacterial small subunit ribosomal RNA
Source: RNAcentral